RNAcentral lists this non-coding RNA (23 nucleotides) under Rattus norvegicus (Norway rat). The record is from RNAcentral. Lineage: Eukaryota; Metazoa; Chordata; Mammalia; Rodentia; Muridae.
UGAUGAAGGCCUACCUCUCCAGC